Molecule: ribosomal RNA, 516 nt
Filed under: uncultured bacterium
Lineage: Bacteria
Description: bacterial SSU rRNA
Rfam family: Bacterial small subunit ribosomal RNA
Source: RNAcentral
AGGAAAUAGAUACCCUGGUAGUCCACGCCCUAAACGAUGCGCACUAGACCGCAGCGGCUCUGACGUCGUUGUGGUCGCAGAGAAAUUGAUAAGUGCGCCGCCUGGGGAGUACGGUCGCAAGGCUAAAACUCAAAGAAAUUGACGGGGGCUCACACAAGCGGUGGAGCAUGUUGCUUAAUUCGAAGCAACGCGAAGAACCUUACCUGGGUUUGACAUGCACGGAUUAACCUCCGGAAACGGAGGCCACGCCCGCAAGGGUGGAACGUGCACAGGUGCUGCAUGGCUGUCGUCAGCUCGUGCUGUGAAGUGUCGGGUUAAGUCCCUUAACGAGCGCAACCCUUGUCGCUAGUUGCUAACAGGUAAUGCUGAGGACUCUAGCGAGACUGCCGGUGUCAAACCGGAGGAAGGCGGGGAUGACGUCAAGUCCUCAUGGCCCUUACAUCCAGGGUUGCAAACGUGCUACAAUGGCGUGCACAAAGCGAAGCGAGGCCGCGAGGCGGAGCAAAUCGCAGAAAA